RNAcentral lists this long non-coding RNA (1330 nucleotides) under Junco hyemalis (dark-eyed junco). RNAcentral's name for it is "lncRNA (ENSJHYG00000012811.1)". Lineage: Eukaryota; Metazoa; Chordata; Aves; Passeriformes; Passerellidae. The record is from RNAcentral.
AAGCCAAAGUCAUCUUCCCUCACAGAUAUUGAAUCCCAAGCAAUAUACCUGGGAGAUGCCUCAAAAUUAGAGGUUCAAGCAGGAUGAAGUUUGGAACUUUCCAGGGAGCCAGCUGGAAGUGCAGAAAUGACAGAAAACUUUUGCAGGUGGGUACCACUGGAAGUGUGCUGAAGGCCGGGAUGUGCAUCCCUUUCCUGAGGGGAAAAAACGUGCAGAAGGUUACUGCUGAGGCUCUGAAAGGAGCUGGGCUUCUUCAGGGAGAGGUGUGCUGACUCAGUACAGGCUGGGAGUGCAUCCAGCCACUGCCUUGUCCUGCUUUAAAGUAUCAACGGGAGCCUGAGGUCUGGGUGAGGAGUGAAAUUAGUUGGGUUCCAGGGAACUCUGCCAAGUAACCCCAGGGACAUCAGUGGAGCUGGGGAAUAAGGGUUUUAAACAGCAAGUUCUAUGAAAUAUAGACCUGUCCUUGUCCAGAUCCCACUCAACUUCCCUGGAACCUCUGCUGGCUCCUGACACAGCUGGUGCAAAAGUGAUACCUCUGCAUGGGAAUUUCCACUCUCCAUGAGGCACUGGUCAGGUUAUUCCAGCAGGAAUUCAUCAGGGAAUGUGGGGCUGUGGGUGUAACUCACCUGAACUAGCAAAGCUGAUACCAAACCCCAAAUCUAGGCACCACAUAGAGAACAAUCUUUGUGCUGCCCUGUCAGUUAAAACCCCUGGGCUGGGAAAUUUCAGCAACCAAAUACAUGGAAUAAUCUACAUCCCAGUAGCCAGCAUUCCCCAGGGGAACAAUCCAAGUCCCAGGGUGGCAGCUGGUGUCCUUCCCCUGCUGCUGGUGGGACAAAUUCCCCUCAGAACGGGCAGGAGCUGAGAGCAGGAGGGGCGGAAGCGGCAUGGGGAAGUGCCGGGAGAUGAGGCUGCUACAAUGUCACCUGAAUUGGGAGAUGAGGCUGCUGGAAUGUCACCUGAAUCGGGAGAUGAGGCCGCUACAAUGUCACCUGAAUCGGGAGAUGAGGCCGCUACAAUGUCACCUGAAUCGGGAGAUGAGGCCGCUGCAAUGCCGGCUGAAUCGGCUGGAAACUCCUUCCCUGCAGGAGCCAGAGCAGAUCCCUCCUGGCCAGGCUGGUUGGCAGCCGCUGGAUCUGCUCUGGGGUAGAACCCCCUGCCCUGCCAGCAGCCCCGACUCUGCUUUCCCUCCCCGCUCCUGAGGGUGUCAGCGCUGCCGUGAGGGAGCUCAGACCCAAAAACCCCACAGCCCACAGAGUGAACGAUCCCAACAGGGAAAUGCGGUGUUGUGAUAAAAAUUCUGUUAAAAAGGCUGUGACAGCACUGUAAU